This 460-nucleotide ribosomal RNA is filed under the name uncultured ammonia-oxidizing beta proteobacterium. Its description in RNAcentral is "bacterial SSU rRNA". It matches the Rfam family "Bacterial small subunit ribosomal RNA", at positions 202 to 644 of the family's 1533-position model. The record is from RNAcentral. Lineage: Bacteria; Pseudomonadati; Pseudomonadota; Betaproteobacteria.
AAAGCAGGGGAUCGCAAGACCUUGCGCUUUUGGAGUGGCCGAUGCCUGAUUAGCUAGUUGGUGGGGUAAGGGCCUACCAAGGCGACGAUCAGUAGUUGGUCUGAGAGGACGACCAGCCACACUGGGACUGAGACACGGCCCAGACUCCUACGGGAGGCAGCAGUGGGGAAUUUUGGACAAUGGGCGAAAGCCUGAUCCAGCAAUGCCGCGUGAGUGAAGAAGGCCUUCGGGUUGUAAAGCUCUUUCAGUCGAGAAGAAAAGGUCGCGACUAAUAAUCGCGACUCAUGACGGUAUCGACAGAAGAAGCACCGGCUAACUACGUGCCAGCAGCCGCGGUAAUACGUAGGGUGCGAGCGUUAAUCGGAAUUACUGGGCGUAAAGGGUGCGCAGGCGGCUUUGUAAGUCAGAUGUGAAAUCCCCGGGCUUAACCUGGGAAUUGCGUUUGAAACUACAAAGCUAG